AGUGAACGCUGGCGGUAGGCCUAACACAUGCAAGUCGAACGGCAGCACAGAGGAGCUUGCUCCUUGGGUGGCGAGUGGCGGACGGGUGAGGAAUACAUCGGAAUCUACUCUGUCGUGGGGGAUAACGUAGGGAAACUUACGCUAAUACCGCAUACGACCUACGGGUGAAAGCAGGGGACCUUCGGGCCUUGCGCGAUUGAAUGAGCCGAUGUCGGAUUAGCUAGUUGGCGGGGUAAAGGCCCACCAAGGCGACGAUCCGUAGCUGGUCAGAGAGGAGGACCAGCCACACUGGAACUGAGACACGGCCCAGACUCCUACGGGAGGCAGCAGUGGGGAAUAUUGGACAAUGGGCGCAAGCCUGAUCCAGCCAUACCGCGUGGGUGAAGAAGGCCUUCGGGUUGUAAAGCCCUUUUGUUGGGAAAGAAAUCCAGCUGGCUAAUACCCGGUUGGGAUGACGGUACCCAAAGAAUAAGCACCGGCUAACUUCGUGCCAGCCGCCGCGGUAA
Molecule: ribosomal RNA, 506 nt
Filed under: uncultured bacterium
Lineage: Bacteria
Description: partial 16S ribosomal RNA
Rfam family: Bacterial small subunit ribosomal RNA
Source: RNAcentral